CGUUUGCUUGGCAUGUGCAAGGCCCUGGGCUUAAUACCCAGCAAAGGAAACAAUUCCUGGCCCAGUUCUUAGACUAGCCCCCAGUUCUUUGACUCUCAUAUUUCUGUUUUCUCCAGGGAUUCGGAUUGUGAAACUCCUGUCCCUGUGAUGAUUUUUGACCCUUGCUUUCCAGUCUGCCUGGAAAUUACUCCCUGUUAAUUUGCACCUUGACCAUGACCUAUGCUACCUUCUCCCAGACCCUGCUUUGUUCCAUCUGCUGGAUUUCCAUUGUCAGGGUCCUGCCCAGGACUAACCUCUGCUCAUGAACAUCUUCUGGAAUGACUGUCUUGGCACUACUCAGGAGGUCAUACCUGGCACCAAAAGAAUAAGUUAAUAAGUAAAAAUCUUAGAUAAAAUAAAGAAAGAGCAGGAAGAAAAAUCUGUCUCAUUCUACAAUCCACCAAUUUUUCCUGAGUAAGUAUAAAAACUAAAAACUGCAUAUAUUUUAAUCAUUAAACAUAUCACUGAGCUAUUCCCUGGCAGAAAUAAUUCAUUUUUAAUAUAUAUAAUCUUUUUUCUGAAGCCAUAUAUACUUUCAUCAGCUGAGUAUGGGCUUUUAUAAUUAUUAUCCCUAUUCCCAUACAAUUAAAAGCCUUUAUGUAGAUAUAUAAUUAUCGAUAGGCAAAAGAAACACUAUACCGUUUCUGCAAUCCAUAAAAUGGCAAGUGGAAAAACUACUCAUUAAUUUAUAUUUACACUAUGGCAAUUAAAUUAGCAAUACCUGGAGCACAGAUGAAGAGAGCAAGGAGCCUUUACAGAAAGAGGCCUUUGCCCUGUUCAAGCUGUCAUGAUAUCAUACAGGCUUUUUGUGAUAACUAAGAAAUUUGUAUAUUGUUGUGACUAAAAUAUAGCUAAACUUUCAGUUUUGUCUAGUGUGUACAUGUAUGUUUAAUACAAUUAUCUGUCUCUCUGUUGCCACAUGUACAUACUUACUUCACAGUGAAGCACACAUAUACAUGUGUGAAUAUACAGGUUUUAUACUGAGAAAAACAUAUAUAUAUUCUAUAAAAUGUGUGAUAUAUACAUGUAUCCACACAUGCACAUACAGUGGUGAAAAUGAUAAUUUUAUGGCUUGCAUGAAUUUUAGCUCUUUUGUGACUCAUUCUUGGUUUCCCUCAGUUUGAAAGACACAAAUCACAACAUAAUAUAUAUGUUAUGCAUGUGCUACUGUAAUGAAGUAUCAUAUAAAUACACACAGAAAUUAUAGUCAUGAAAAGAACGGAACAAACCUAAUAUAACAGCUGUUUAACUUCUCUUUCUGCUUCCCUCGCAGGAUUAUUUGUCAGCUCUAAGGUCACUGACAGGCAGUACAUGGACUGAGUCAUUGGUACCUGCUUCACAGAUGUGGUGGGCAAAGAUAUCCUGUGGUGAGGAAGGGUGAGGGACACAGAAAGCGUCCAGACACUGGGAAUAAGUCUAUUAGUACUGCAAGGUUCUACCAUUUCUUAAGCUUCAGUGACUUUCAGCUUUAUUUCUUUCCCAUCACCCAUACACCAAAGUUUUAUUCCUAAGAUAUAGGAGACUGUUUUCCCUUACUUUUCCUUUUCCCCACCACCUUAAUGUCUUGUCUUUCAUUUCCACCUUUUCUUGAACUUAGAGUUUGUCCUGCCCUGCCUUACCUUGUCCUGUCCUUCCUUUCCCAUCCCUUCCAUUCCCUCCCCUUCCCCUCCUGCCCCCUCCUCUGUUCUCCUUUCCUCUCAUUUCUUUCUUUCUCUCUCUACUUCCUUCCCCUUCCCUCCUUCUCUGUCUUUCUCUCUGUGUAUCUGUCUCUCUAUGUCUGUCUCUCUAUGUCUGUCUGUCUGUCUGUCUGUCUGUCUCUCUCUCUCUCUCUCUCGCACAUCAACUCUUUUUAAAAUUUUUGGACAGGGUCUAAAUAAGUCUCUAGAUUUCCAGGCCUAAGUUAGAAUUUCUGAUCUUCCUCCCUCAGCCUUCCAGAGUGCUGGGAUUACUGGUAUGUAUCACCAUGCCUGGCUGAAUUUACUUUUUCAAUGUCAUAAAAGGCAGUAUAUUCAGGAUCUAGGCUCCAAGUUCAAGGCCAGGAAAAAUUAAGGAAUUUUCCCAAGGUUAUGCACAUGGGGAUGAGUGGAAUAAGAAUAAGAGUGGGGCUCGUGUAGUGGUGGCAUGCAAAUGAAUCCCCAGUUCUAGGACAGACAUUGUCCUGGGCUGUGAGGAAAUCCUAGUGAAUAAGAUGGGAAAGUUCUUAGAGAAUAAAAAGUCAUAUUCUAAAGGCAAAUGAUAUGAAAUAAGCAUAUAAUAAAUAAAUUAAUGGCAGAGGGGGAAAAAGCAUGGGAUGGGGACACAGACAGUGCUAUAUGGAGAUUAAUCAGUUAGCUUUCUGUCACUAUAACAAAAUAUCUGAGAGAAUUAACUUACAAAGAGAAAAGGUUUUACAAGUCCCAGCCCUGACAAGACUGACCCACUGCUUUGACUUGAAGAGUUGUAGAAAAUAACAACAUGCACAAGAUUUUUAUACUUAGGUGUUUGGAUUUCCUCUUGUUUCCUCUUUGCCUCCAUCUGAAGAGCAUUGGAGUGGGCUGAUGACAUGGAGGCUGAGAGACAGCGCCUCCAUUGCAUGAUUUAACCAUGCUUCUUCCAGAGCAAGGGGGUGCAUUGCCUCAUGACUUUCUGGGUGGGUUGGAUUUGUUUUUUGGCCUUCAUCAUUUACACUGGUCAUUGACACUACCAGACCUUUCUACCUAACUGCACACUUAAAAUGUGGUCACGCUUCUGUGACUCCCUUUGCACCAUGCCCUGGCUGCCCGAGUACCUUAAGAUCUCCAUUCCAGGCAGGCCUGGGCUAAGCUCUUGAAAAGUCUGGAACUAGCCACCACUCCUGCACUUACCUUUAGCAGUAACACACGUUUCUCCUUUUAAUGUUCAUGUGCGUUCCAUAUUUCCAGAUUGAAAACUCAUCUGGUUAAACAUCCUCAGACCAUAUUAUGAUGUUUACUGCAAGAGUAAUAUGAAUUCUCAAGAGGUUCUUUAAAUAACUCUGGCUAGGUAAAUAAAUAAAUGAUACCAGUUGUCAUUUACUGCACACCUACCAUGUCCCAGGAACACUUUUAAACUACUGACAUGUAUGCAUUUAGUGCUCACCAAACCCUCUAGUGUAGCUGUCCUGGUGAGGUGAAUUUGAGAGCAUUUGAACACCUGAACAGUAGCCGUGCCCCAGUCUGCAGCUUCUAGGUAAAAAGGAAGGGCCUGGCUUGGGAGAUAAUCUAUAAUUUUUAUAUAUGAAAAUUCAAGAUUUUAACAGUGUGGGGUAUAUGUGUGUAUAUUUUAUAUACUUAUUUUAUGGACACAUGUUAGACUAUGUUAUAACUACAUCAUACACUGUGAGAACUGAACAAAUGUGCUUCCUGGGCAGCGUACCACCUCAGGCCCAGCAAAGAGCCUCUAAGUCAACAGUCUACUCUGGGAUGGUGAGAAAAGCACAGCAUUGGAGCAGCUGUAUAACAGGGUGGUUACCUCUUCAUUUCAUGGACCCUUGAGAUCCUGAGUUUAGAUAGAAGUUAGUGGCAAACUGUCAGCUAGAUCACACUGUUGUGGGCAUUGGAAGUGUAUUCCUAGAGUUCGUUGCAAAUUAGGGGCUUGGUCCAUGCCAUUAAUUUCUUCUUUUUUUUUUUUUUGUACCAGGGAUCGAACUCGGGUCCUUGUGCUUGUGCAGCAGGUGGCAAAACCACUGAGCUAAAUCCCCGGCCCAUCAUUAAUUUAUUCUUUGGGAGGAAGCUCUGGGUAUGGAAACAAGGUCCUGGUACAUCCUAGGUGAAUGCUCCACCACUGAAGCAUACCCACAUCCCUCAGUCAGCUGAACAGGGCGCUGAGCCCACUCUCAGGGAAAUGGGGUCCACAAGAUUCUCUUCUUACUCUUACCCUCCACGGGAGCACCUGACCCAGCCCAAGGACUCAUUUUUUAUGUGAUAUUUGCAAGCUUCUCUAUCUAUACCUUUAUUCCUCCUGGGUAAAAAGUUUGAUAGGAAUGUAAGUGGGUAUCCUUGAAAGAAUAUUUCUAUUUUGACAGGGACCAGUGACUUUGAGUAGCUUGAGAGAAUACUCACGUGAGCCUGAGAAUGCCAUGAGAGAUUGGGCAUAGACACAUUCCCUUUUACCCACCAUGACUCCACAGCCUCCCUAGCUGUUUGUCUCUCUCUUCUACUGAGGCUUCAGGUAGUAUUCUUUUACAAAAAAGGGGCUCUGUGGCAAUGAUGAAGGUAUCUGGAAAAGUUAAAACCUUCCAGCCAAGUUCUAAGCAUCAAUCAUUUUGUUAUCAAUUUUCUGCAAAAAGUUGUGGAUUUUUUUCCCCUGCUCAUAAAUGCCUCCUAGAAAAAUAAGAGUUGCAGUAGGCACUUUCUUUUCCCCAGGCACAGAACUAUCAAACUUCUCAGCUGGAAUUCAGAGACAGUAAGCAAACUCCCUAAAUACUAACAUGGCAUACGAGCUGUUUUCCUGGCAGGAUGGUUUUGUGCCCAUCAACUUGGGAGUGCUAUGGCAACUCAGUGGGGCCUUGCUGAAUAGCAGUGGCACUGGGACUCUUCACUAAGGUCCUUCUGGUGCCAAGCAGUCCCCAAGUCAGAGCAUGUGCUGAUUUCAACAUUUGUUGUCACUGUAGAUAAAGAACAAUCAGCAAAGAUCCUGAUCCCAUGACCCAUUUCUCAAUUCUUCUGGUUUCUGGGAAUCAGCAUACUGAUUAUGUAGACUUGGCUGACUAGGAGAGGCUUGGGAUUCCCCUACUGGCUUAUGUCCUAUUUUGCAAAAUGAACAACUGUUUUCUUUUUCUUCCUCAUUUGCAAGGUAGGGAAAAUACUUCCUCUAGCCCUGUAGCAAAUCUCCUUACUUUGCAAUUGCAUCUUGGUGUUCUGCUAGGUUGGUUAGGUGAAUAGGGGUCUGGUGUCACAAGGCUAAAGAGAAGUGAGGGCCUGGAUAGUUCAUUUUUUUUCUUCCUUAGCCUUUCCUUUUUCUUAUUCCCUCUUCUACCUUUCAUUUAUGUUUCAGGUUAUUUAAUGGAAAAUUGAAAGCAAUAUUUUAAGUAAAAUGCCUGCGUUCUCUUAAUGGGCAUGGCUGUGGCCAACAGACCUAUAGGUCGAAUGGCUAUGACACCAAGCAGUGGGCACAUACACGUGCGUCGGCCAGUGUGCCCAAAUCAAGUACUGUAUGUGUGUGGAACCACAUGCUCUUCUAGAGCUUUUCAGAGCCGGGUGUAUGCUGGGCUGCAAGUGUUUUUCACUUCUUUUUAGUUUUUAAAUGAAGACCCUUUUUAGUUAUCUACCUCGGAUACUCCAUGAAAUGGAAGAAUACCUCACUGCAUUUACCAACUCCAUUGUGUGGCUUAAUUGAUGGUCAGUGUGGGCCUUCUUUGGGUUUUCAGAAUGUGGGAGUUAAUCAUAGUGCUUCCGUUGCUCCCUUUGGCAAUUCUGAGGAGCUACGAGGAUCCUGAUUUGUUCGCUGCAGUUUUAAAUGACAGUGUGUGGGAAACAAAUCAAGGAGUUCUGAGUCUGGUGGAGCUGCAGCUAGGGGCCUGUUCGUACAACCUCCAUGUCCUCAUCUGUAAAGUGAAGGACAAGAAGCAUCUGCAGUCCAAGGCCCCUUCUGGACUCCUGGUUUGGUAUGUGCUGGGCCUGAUCCCCUGGGGUGAGUGGGAGUCUGUGUCUGUCUUGUGAUCUUGGCUAGAAUUUGUGAGGUUCUUCCCCCAUCAUCCGCAUUGUGUAUGGACUGGAAGAGCCCUGGAAACCCCAAAGCUGAUCCCAGAGGCCCUUAGGGAGAGCUCCAGUCCUGGAAAUAAGUUCUGUUUGGCAAAAUAAGUUCAUCUUCUCUUAAACUGUGUAGGCUUUCUAGGUUCUGCCAAAUGGAGAACCAGUGAGAAGUGUUCAUGAAUAGAAACUCACAUUUCUGCUCAGUAGAGCUCCUAAUGAUUAAAUGCCUUUUCAAAUAGGUACAUCAAAGGCAAACAAAUCAGGGUGUGGGACUCUGUUGUGGGUCUAUGAGAUCUGUUAUCAUGAGUUAAGUAUUUUUUAAAACGUGGUAUUGAGUCCAAGAGUCUACUCGAUUAUUAUGAAACUAAAAACACAUUACAUUCCAAAGAUAUUUUGGAAACAAUAGAUUUUGAUAUUCACCGGUGGCUUUUAUCAUUUCAACAAACUUGUAUUUAGAGAGCAGGUGGUGUCUGUGAGCCUAGACCAUGGAACUGGUGUUUAGUGGUGAAGCCGAUAAUUCUCCCACUUGCUUAAAAGAUUGAGCCGAGACAAGAGAUUUUUACCUGACUGUGUCUUCUGCCAGAAGCCAGAGAAAUGCACAAUCUUGGAACGCUGAGACGUGGAUACCGCAUGUCUAAUGGAUGGAAUCUUUUUUUGUCUGGGGUAGAAAUAUACAACUAUUGACUGUGUUACGCAUAUGGAGUAAAACUGAUUGCAGGUGGUACAACGGUUUCUUCCUUUCUGCCUCUCCACCUUCCCCUGGCACCAGUUUCCUAUGCUUGGAGAUACGAAUAAUGGGAGCCCAGUGAUCAUGAGAAAAUUCUACUGGGUUGAUGAACAACAACAGUGAAGGGCAGGAACAGUACAAAACCAGUACUGGGAGGACAACUGAGACCCAUAAUUACUCAGUGAGUUGACCUUGCCCUCCUCAGGACACCUGAUGUGCUGCUGAGCGAUAAAAUAUAUGGCUCUGGUAUCAGAUGCAAAUUCACAUCUCCCCACACUGGUAGGUUUCCUGUGAUCCUCAGGCCACGCACUCAUUGACACCCAUCUUUUUCAUUUGCAAUAUAAGUAUAUAAAAAUUAGAUUUUUGUGGGAUGAAAUGAUAGAGCUAUAACUAUUACUAUUAAUUUUUAGUCUGCAGUGUGUCAAGAACAUUAUCCUGACAUGAGUUCUCUUUAUGUACUAAUAUCUAUUUUAUUUUUUUAAAAAAUCUAUUUUAUUUCUAGUUUUCCAGUGAUCUCUGAUAAAAUCACAGGUACCACAGACCUGUGAUGCUCUAUUAAAAUCUAAACAUUUUUUUCUGAGUCAGAAAUAUUUUAAAAAAUCUCAGGAACUUCCCAUACAAGAGUUUAAUUAGGUAAACACAUCAAAGAAUAGCUUAGAUUAUUUUGUUUAUAGUCUCAAGAGAAAGUUCUAAAGGACAUACUCCUUUUAACUUUAAUACACUUUUCCAGGAUCCAUUGUUUUAUUUUGAUUUAUUCCUUAUAAGUACAUUUAAAUGACUGCUAUGAAAUGACAUUUAGGAUACAAAUAUUUUUAAUCUUAAUUUUUAAUAAUUUCUUGUCUUAAAACUCAUAAUAUUUUGAGUUCUAAUAAUAAAACUGGAAUUUUGAUUUUUACAAGUAAUAUCUCAACCAAGAAUCAUCAUAUACAAACCAAAAAAUUUUCAAGACAGUCUGGAUUGUAUUCAAAGUAACAAACAUUAUUCAAAAGUACAAAUUUCAUUCAUAUUUAUUGCAACUCUAUUCAUAACAGCUAAGAAAGGGAAGCAACUUGAGCAUCUAUCAACUGAUGAGUGAACAAGGAAAAUGGGUUAUGUAUACAUAAUGGAAUACUAUUCAUCCAUAAAGAAGGUUGAAAUCCUGUCAUUUGCAAUAUAACAUGAAUGGAAUUGUUGAUCUUUAUAUUAAGUGAAAUCAAUCAGGCACAAAAAAGACAAACAGCACAUGAUCUUGCUCAUAUGCAAAAUCUAAAUAUGUUGAUCUCAUAAAAGUUGUGAGUACAGAAUGAUACAUGUCGAAGAGAAUAGAGAGAGCACAAGGACAGGGAGAGGCUGGCCAAUGGGGAUGAAGUUGCAGUUAGACAGGAGUAAGAUAUUCUGGUGAGCUCCUGUAUGGCAGGGUAACUAGAUAACAAUAAAGUAGUGUAGAUUUUAAAAAGCUAGAAGAGAGGAUAUUGAAUAUCUGUUCCAUAAAAAUGAUAAAUGUUUGUGGAAAUGGACAUACUAACUCUGAUUUGAAUAUUAUACAAUGUAUGAAUGUAUCAAAACUUUACAUGGCUCCUCUUGAUGUGUAUAGUUUUGUAUUUCUAUCAUCAAUUAAAAAUAAAUUUCAAAAAUCCUCAAAAAUAAAUAAAUGACUCACUUGCUUGGCUGUGUUGACUUCUAUUUUCCAUAGUGACUAGAAAAAUCCAAAAGAACUGACUGAAUGUGUCAGAUAUCAUACAGACAGAAUUAGUCAAGAGAAAGUUGACUUCCUUAGAUAUACAUCUUCUCUUAUAUAGAGUCAGACCUAUCCAAAGUAAGAAGAGUGAGAUAAUACUUUAUUGUCUUUUUGUUCUUUUUAGCAUUUAAGGUAGUAGUAGUAGUUGCUGAUAUUUUCAUCGACAAAUAUAAAAUUUUUUUAGUAACUGUUUUUUUUGUCCUUGAGGCUGAACGUAUAACAGAGCCAAUCACGUUACUUCAUUCUGCAAGUGAGGGUAGUUGAUUGACAGAUGCCAUGUGGCCCAAGCUGAACUAAUCUGAAUUCUUCACUUGGCUUUGUUUUGCUGCAGCUAUCAGGGAAUACUUUCUUUCUUCCUAGGUUGAUAAGGAUGGGACUCCCAUACUUCAGGUAUUCAGUAAAUGCUUAACUUUGCCCACUGAAAGUUCAGCUCUUUGUUCACAGCUCCAAGGGUGGUGAACUCAAAACCCACAAGAUACUAUCCUUGAUAAGGAUGGCUGUAUGUAUCUGGGGUUUGAGACAGCCAGACUGUCUAUGCUAACAAUGCAAUUUUUGGUGAGGGCUUGGGCUAUGUGAUACCCCUCAAGCUAUAGAGGAGCUGGAGACAAAAGAUAGGCUCAUAAGUGAUCAAUGUGUCUACAUGGCAGACUCCUAACAAAAAAUCUGGACAACAAAACUUGGAUGAGCUUUCAUGGUUGGGAAUAUUCUGUGUGUGUUAUUACACAUCCUUGCUGAAAGAACAGUGUGCAUCCACCUAAUUUCACUAGGAAUGGGCAACUG
This is a long non-coding RNA of Heterocephalus glaber (naked mole-rat), 8953 nucleotides long. Lineage: Eukaryota; Metazoa; Chordata; Mammalia; Rodentia; Bathyergidae. The record is from Ensembl.